This 314-nucleotide ribosomal RNA is filed under the name Clostridioides difficile. Its description in RNAcentral is "bacterial LSU rRNA". It matches the Rfam family "Bacterial large subunit ribosomal RNA", at positions 1440 to 1751 of the family's 2925-position model. The record is from RNAcentral. Lineage: Bacteria; Bacillati; Bacillota; Clostridia; Peptostreptococcales; Peptostreptococcaceae.
UGUACUACCGAUAACCGUUUGAGAGAAGGGAUGACACAGUAGGAUAAGCUAAGCACACUGUUGGUUAUGUGUGCCCAAGCAUUGAGGCAGUCAAAGUAGGCAAAUCCGCUUUGAUAAUGCUGGGAUGUGAUGGGGAGCGAAAUUUAGUAGCGAAGUAGCUGAUUUCACACUGUCAAGAAAAGUCUCUAUCGAGGUUAAAGGUACCCGUACCGCAAACCGACACAGGUGGGUGAGGAGAGUAUCCUAAGGCCAGCGAGAGAACUGUUGUUAAGGAACUCGGCAAAAUGACCCCGUAACUUAGGGAUAAGGGGUGC